RNAcentral lists this ribosomal RNA (505 nucleotides) under uncultured bacterium. Its description in RNAcentral is "bacterial SSU rRNA". It matches the Rfam family "Bacterial small subunit ribosomal RNA", at positions 15 to 518 of the family's 1533-position model. The record is from RNAcentral.
GAUUAUGGCUCAGGAUGAACGCUGGCGGCGUGCCUAAUACAUGCAAGUCGAGCGAGAAUCAGCAGACCGGAGAUUCGUCAAAGUGAAGCUGAGGAAAGCGGCGGACGGGUGAGUAACGCGUAGGCAACCUGCCCUUAGCAGAGGGAUAGCCAUUGGAAACGAUGAUUAAAACCUCAUAAUGCUGUUGAGACACAUGUUUCGACAGCCAAAGAUUUAUCGGCUAAGGAUGGGCCUGCGUCUGAUUAACUAGUUGGUGGGGUAACGGCUCACCAAGGUGACGAUCAGUAGCCGACCUGAGAGGGUGAUCGGCCACAUUGGAACUGAGACACGGUCCAAACUUCUACGGAAGGCAGCAGUAAGGAAUCUUGCACAAUGGGGGAAACCCUGAUGCCAGCAACGCCGCGUGAACGAUGAAGGCCUUAGGGUUGUAAAGUUCUGAUCUGUGGGAAGAAGAAGUGACGGUACCACAGGAGAAAGCCCCGGCUAAAUACGUGCCAGCAGCCGC